This 602-nucleotide long non-coding RNA is filed under the name Elaeis guineensis (African oil palm). RNAcentral describes it as "long non-coding RNA (EGUI_LNC059398)". Lineage: Eukaryota; Viridiplantae; Streptophyta; Magnoliopsida; Arecales; Arecaceae. The record is from RNAcentral.
UGGGAUGCCACGUUGAUUUGAUCAAGUUGGGUAUGUCCCAUCUUUAGAGGGUAUGUAGAUCCUAAUUGGGGUGUCCCUUGGGUGCACUUUGGGUUGUGAUUUAGUGGGUGCAAGGGCUCUAAGAGUUAGCGCCUAAUAGGUUUCCUAAAGAAAGUUGUAUAACUUAAGUUAUUAAAAAAUCUAAUGCAAGUAGGACUUGUAUUAUGAGAUUGAAUAGGAUUCAAUCCUUAUGUCAAUUUAAAGAGACCUCCCCUAAGGUCCCUAGGUAUCCAAACCAGUAGCCCACAUGCCACAAAGGAGGCCCCCACACCCUCUCUUCUUCUCCACUUCUCUGCUCCCCUUGGGCGUCCCACAUGUCCUCCCCUUGGGCAUCCCUUUUCUUCAUGCCCAUAAGGGCCUUGGGCAUCCACCUCUUGUGCUGGUUCCUAGUGUUUGGUAGCAGCAUAAUCAAGGAAAGAAAGGCAAGAGAAGAAGAGAAGAAGAAGAUCAAAAAAAGAGAUUAAAGAGUUGAUCGCGAUCCAGACUUCAUUCAGAUUUGCAGGCUGAAUUUUCUUAGAGAAGAAAUUUAAUUUGAAGAGAACUGUUCCAGACUGAUCCCGAGU